UGCUACGAACCCUGCUAAGACCUUUAAGC
RNAcentral lists this non-coding RNA (29 nucleotides) under Mus musculus (house mouse). Lineage: Eukaryota; Metazoa; Chordata; Mammalia; Rodentia; Muridae. The record is from RNAcentral.